GAUGAACGCUGGCGGCGUGCCUAAUACAUGCAAGUCGAGCGAACAGACGAGGAGCUUGCUCCUCUGACGUUAGCGGCGGACGGGUGAGUAACACGUGGAUAACCUACCUAUAAGACUUGGAUAACUUCGGGAAACCGGAGCUAAUACCGGAUAACAUGUUGAACCGCAUGGUUCAACAGUGAAAGACGGUCUUGCUGUCACUUAUAGAUGGAUCCGCGCCGCAUUAGCUAGUUGGUAAGGUAACGGCUUACCAAGGCAACGAUGCGUAGCCGACCUGAGAGGGUGAUCGGCCACACUGGAACUGAGACACGGUCCAGACUCCUACGGGAGGCAGCAGUAGGGAAUCUUCCGCAAUGGGCGAAAGCCUGACGGAGCAACGCCGCGUGAGUGAAGAAGGUCUUCGGAUCGUAAAACUCUGUUAUUAGGGAAGAACAAAUGUGUAAGUAACUAUGCACGUCUUGACGGUACCUAAUCAGAAAGCCACGGCUAACUACGUG
RNAcentral lists this ribosomal RNA (497 nucleotides) under uncultured bacterium. RNAcentral's name for it is "partial 16S ribosomal RNA". It matches the Rfam family "Bacterial small subunit ribosomal RNA", at positions 28 to 507 of the family's 1533-position model. The record is from RNAcentral.